CAACACAGCUCCUAAAGAAAACAGACGUCCCUGUUUAGAAGGAGCUCAUUGAGGAGCUGCCUGAUAACUCUCCACCCGGCGCCGUCCUCGCUAACUCCCUGAUUGCUGUGGGCAACCUCAGCACCAUGACACCUGCCCUGGAGCCAGAGCUGGAGACCCACCUCCUCCGAGCUGCCCUGCACGCUGUCUUCACCCUGGGCACGGAGAAGGACACCACCCAAGUCCAGGUAGAUCAUGCUAAAGUCAUGGAUUGAAGAGCCAGCUGUCAUCCUGCCAUGAAUCCUUGCUAAUUGCGUGCAAUGGGAUGUGAAUGACAGGGGCCAGGAUAUGUGUUUGGGGGUCUCACCAGUGCUUCCCAGAGACCCCUCUUCCCAUCCUGUGGCAGGUGUAGCUCCAGUUUCCCUAACUCUGACCC
This is a non-coding RNA of Chrysemys picta bellii (western painted turtle), 415 nucleotides long. Lineage: Eukaryota; Metazoa; Chordata; Testudines; Emydidae. The record is from RefSeq and is a predicted model, not a curated record.